RNAcentral lists this ribosomal RNA (468 nucleotides) under uncultured bacterium. Its description in RNAcentral is "partial 16S ribosomal RNA". It matches the Rfam family "Bacterial small subunit ribosomal RNA", at positions 28 to 507 of the family's 1533-position model. The record is from RNAcentral.
GACGAACGCUGGCGGCGUGCUUAACACAUGCAAGUCGAACGGAAAGGCCCUGCUUUUGUGGGGUGCUCGAGUGGCGAACGGGUGAGUAACACGUGAGUAACCUGCCCUUGACUUUGGGAUAACUUCAGGAAACUGGGGCUAAUACCGGAUAGGAGCUCCUGCUGCAUGGUGGGGGUUGGAAAGUUUCGGCGGUUGGGGAUGGACUCGCGGCUUAUCAGCUUGUUGGUGGGGUAGUGGCUUACCAAGGCUUUGACGGGUAGCCGGCCUGAGAGGGUGACCGGCCACAUGGGGACUGAGAUACGGCCCAGACUACUACGGGAGGCAGCAGUGGGGAAUAUUGCAGAAUGGGCGGAAGCCUGAUGCAGCAACGCCGCGUGCGGGAUGACGGCCUUCGGGUUGUAAACCGCUUUCGCCUGUGACGAAGCGUGAGUGACGGUAAUGGGUAAAGAAGCACGGGCUAACUACGUG